GGAAGGCAAUGGGAGAGAUCUCUGGGCAUACAGAGGGUAAGGGAGAGACCAUGGGGUGGGGAAUGGCAAACAUAGCCCCUCCAGAAUGGGAUAUGGGAUGGGAGAGACCCUCAUGGACAGGGGUGGAAAGGGGGGGAGACCCCUGGGCAGGGGGGAAGGGAACUGGAGAAGCCCCCAUGGACCACACUGGCAAUGGGAGAGACCCCUGGGUAUGCAGGGGGUGGGGGGAGAGACCAUGGGGGGAGAUGACAAACACAGCCCUCUCAAAAUGGGAUUAUGGGAUGGGAGAGACCCCUGGACAGUAGGGCACACAAUGGGGGAGACCUCUGGGAGGAAAGGG
This 340-nucleotide long non-coding RNA is filed under the name Gallus gallus (chicken). The record is from RNAcentral. Lineage: Eukaryota; Metazoa; Chordata; Aves; Galliformes; Phasianidae.